Molecule: long non-coding RNA, 1965 nt
Filed under: Paramuricea clavata
Lineage: Eukaryota; Metazoa; Cnidaria; Anthozoa; Malacalcyonacea; Plexauridae
Source: RNAcentral
GGGGAUACGGGGAUACGCAGUCAUUAAAAUGACGUAAUUAUUCGAGUAGUUUAAGAGGAGAAUGGGUAACUAUUAUUUUUCAAUGAUACGAGGAUACGCAGUCAUUAAAAUGACGUAAUUAUUCGAGUAGUUUAAGAGGAGAUUGGGUAACUAAUAUUUUUCAAUGAUACGGGGAUACUCAGGCAUUAAAAUGACGUAAUUAUUCGAGUAGUUUAAGAGGAGAAUGGGUAACUAUUAUUUUUCAAUGAUACGGGGAUACGCAGUCAUUAAAAUGACGUAAUUAUUCGAGUAGUUUAAGAGGAGAAUGGGUAACUAUUAUUUUUCAAUGAUACAGGGAUACGGGGAUACGCAGUCAUUAAAAUGACGUAAUUAUUCGAGUAGUUUAAGAGGAGAAUGGGUAACUAUUAUUUUUCAAUGAUACGGGGAUACGGGGAUACGCAGUCAUUAAAAUGACGUAAUUAUUCGAGGAGUUUAAGAGGAGAAUGGGUAACUAUUAUUUUUCAAUGAUACGGGGAUACGGGGAUACGCAGUCAUUAAAAUGACGUAAUUAUUCGAGUAGUUUAAGAGGAGAAUGGGUAACUAUCAUUUUUCAAUGAUACGGGGAUACGGGGAUACGCAGUCAUUAAAAUGACGUAAUUAUUCGAGUAGUUUAAGAGGAGAAUGGGUAACUAUUAUUUUUCAAUGAUACGGGGAUAUAGGGAUACGCAGUCAUUAAAAUGACGUAAUUAUUCGAGUAGUUUAAAAGGAGAAUGGGUAACUAUUAUUUUUCAAUGAUACGGGGAUACGGGGAUACGCAGUCAUUAAAAUGACGUAAUUAUUCGAGUAGUUUAAGAGGAGAAUGGGUAACUAUUAUUUUUCAAUGAUACGGGGAUACGGGGAUACGCAGUCAUUAAAAUGACGUAAUUAUUCGAGUAGUUUAAAAGGAGAUUUAUACUAAUGAGUAAUAUUUUGUGCAGGGUUUAGUUGAGAACGUGAGAAAUACAAUAUAUGAGUAAUAUUUCGUGCGGGGUUUAUUGAGAACGAGAACUACGAUAUAUGAGUAAUAUUUUGUGCGGGGUUUAUUGAGAACGAGAAUUACAAUAUAUGAGUAAUAUUUUGUGCGCGGUUUAGUUGAGAACGUGAGGAAUACAAUAUAUGAGUAAUAUUUUGUGCGGGGUUUAUUGAGAACGAGAAAUACAAUAUAUGAGUAAUAUUUUGUGCGGGGUUUAUUGAGAACGAGAAAUACAAUAUAUGAGUAACAUUUUGUGCGGGGUUUAUUGAGAACGAGAAAUACAAUAUAUGAGUAAUAUUUUGUGCGCGGUUUAGUUGAGAACGUGAGGAAUAUAAUAUAUGAGUAAUGUUUUGUGCGGGGUAUAUUGAGAACGAGAAAUACAAUAUAUGAGUAAUAUUUUGUGCGGGGUUUAUUGAGAACGAGAACUACAAUAUACGAGUAAUAUUUUGUGCGGGGUUUAUUGAGAACGAGAAAUACAAUAUAUGAGUAAUAUUUUGUGCGGGGUUUAUUGAGAACGAGAAAUACAAUAUAUGAGUAACAUUUUGUGCGGGGUUUAUUGAGAACGAGAAAUACAAUAUAUGAGUAAUAUUUUGUGCGCGGUUUAGUUGAGAACGUGAGGAAUACAAUAUAUGAGUAAUAUUUUGUGCGGUGUUUAUUGAGAACGAGAAAUACAAUAUAUGAAUAAUAUUUUGUGCGGGGUUUAUAGAGAAAGAGAAAUACAAUAUAUGAGUAAUAUUUUGUGCGGGGUUUAUUGAGAACGAGAAAUACAAUAUAUGAGUAAUAUUUUGUGCGGGGUUUAUUGAGAAUGAGAAAUACAAUAUACGAGUAAUAGUUUGUGCGUGGUUUAUUGAGAACGAGAAAUACAAUAUAUGAGUAAUAUUUUGUGCGGGGUUUAUUGAGAACGAGAAAUAAAAUAUAUGAGUAAUAUUUUGUGCGGGGUUUAUUAAGAACGAGAAAUACAAUAUAUUUAUAAC